RNAcentral lists this ribosomal RNA (522 nucleotides) under uncultured bacterium. RNAcentral describes it as "bacterial SSU rRNA". It matches the Rfam family "Archaeal small subunit ribosomal RNA", at positions 345 to 866 of the family's 1478-position model. The record is from RNAcentral.
AACCUCCGCAAUGUGAGAAAUCGCGACGGGGGGAUCCCAAGUGCCAUUCUUAACGGGAUGGCUUUUCAUUAGUGUAAAGAGCUUUUGGAAUAAGGGCUGGGCAAGACCGGUGCCAGCCGCCGCGGUAACACCGGCAGCUCUAGUGGUAGCAGUUUUUAUUGGGCCUAAAGCGUCCGUAGCCGGUUUAAUAAGUCUCUGGUGAAAUCCUGUAGCUUAACUGUGGGAAUUGCUGGAGAUACUAUUAGACUUGAGACCGGGAGAGGUUAGAGGUACUCCCAGGGUAGAGGUGAAAUUCUGUAAUCCUGGGAGGACCGCCUGUUGCGAAGGCGUCUGACUGGAACGGUUCUGACGGUGAGGGACGAAAGUUAGGGGCGCGAAACCGGGAUUGGAUACCCGGGUAGUCCUAACUGUAAACGAUGCGGACUUGGUGUUGGGGUGGCUUUGAGCUGCUCCAGUGCCGAAGGGAAGCUGUUAAGUCCGCCGCCUGGGAAGUACGGUCGCAAGACUGAAACUUAAGGAAUU